RNAcentral lists this transfer RNA (84 nucleotides) under Acetomicrobium sp. Its description in RNAcentral is "tRNA-Leu". It matches the Rfam family "tRNA". From Rfam's summary of the family: Transfer RNA (tRNA) molecules are approximately 80 nucleotides in length. Their secondary structure includes four short double-helical elements and three loops (D, anti-codon, and T loops). The record is from RNAcentral. RNAcentral also lists the same sequence under 1 other name. Lineage: Bacteria; Thermotogati; Synergistota; Synergistia; Synergistales; Acetomicrobiaceae.
GCGAGAGUGGUGGAAUGGCAGACACGCGGGACUUAGGAUCCCGUGGCUUCGUCCGUGUGGGUUCAAAUCCCACCUCUCGCACCA